RNAcentral lists this transfer RNA (73 nucleotides) under Ictidomys tridecemlineatus (thirteen-lined ground squirrel). RNAcentral describes it as "Spermophilus tridecemlineatus (thirteen-lined ground squirrel) tRNA". It matches the Rfam family "tRNA". From Rfam's summary of the family: Transfer RNA (tRNA) molecules are approximately 80 nucleotides in length. Their secondary structure includes four short double-helical elements and three loops (D, anti-codon, and T loops). The record is from Rfam by way of RNAcentral. Lineage: Eukaryota; Metazoa; Chordata; Mammalia; Rodentia; Sciuridae.
UGGGAUAUAGCUUAGUUGGUAGAGUACUUGCCUCGAAUGCACAAGGCCCUGAGUUCAAUCCCUGGCAUCACAA